Molecule: ribosomal RNA, 406 nt
Filed under: uncultured bacterium
Lineage: Bacteria
Description: partial 16S ribosomal RNA
Rfam family: Bacterial small subunit ribosomal RNA
Source: RNAcentral
AUCGAACGCUGGCGGCAUGCCUAACACAUGCAAGUCGAACGAGUGGCGGACGGGUGAGUAAUGUAUGAGCAACUGCCUGACGGAGGGGGAUAAGUGGUGGAAAACGUAGCUAAUACCGCAAACGCUCGGAUGGGGCGACAUGGGAUUAGCUAGUCGGUGGGGUAACGGCUCACAAAGGCGACGAUCCCUAGCUGGCCUGAGAGGCAGACCCGCCACACGGGAACUGAGAAACGGCCCAGACUCCUACGGGAGGCAGCAGUGGGGAAUCUUGGACAAUGGGCGAAAGCCUGACGCAGCCAGGCCGCGUGUGUGAAGAAGGCUUUCGGGUUGUAAAGCACUGUCGUUGGGGAGGCGUUACCCGCCGAGGAAGCACCGGCUAACUACGUGCCAGCCGCCGCGGUAAUAC